Molecule: ribosomal RNA, 495 nt
Filed under: uncultured bacterium
Lineage: Bacteria
Description: bacterial SSU rRNA
Rfam family: Bacterial small subunit ribosomal RNA
Source: RNAcentral
AUUGAACGCUGGCGGCAUGCCUUACACAUGCAAGUCGAACGGUAACAGGUCUUCGGAUGCUGACGAGUGGCGAACGGGUGAGUAAUACAUCGGAACGUGCCCGAUCGUGGGGGAUAACGGAGCGAAAGCUUUGCUAAUACCGCAUACGAUCUACGGAUGAAAGCAGGGGACCGCAAGGCCUUGCGCGGACGGAGCGGCCGAUGGCAGAUUAGGUAGUUGGUGGGAUAAAAGCUUACCAAGCCGACGAUCUGUAGCUGGUCUGAGAGGACGACCAGCCACACUGGGACUGAGACACGGCCCAGACUCCUACGGGAGGCAGCAGUGGGGAAUUUUGGACAAUGGGCGCAAGCCUGAUCCAGCCAUGCCGCGUGCAGGAUGAAGGCCUUCGGGUUGUAAACUGCUUUUGUACGGUAACGAAAAGACUCUUCUAAUAAAGAGGUCCAUGACGGUACCGUAAGAAUAAGCACCGGCUAACUACGUGCCAGCAGCCGCGGU